AGUGGGGCCCAGGCCUGUGGUAAAGUGCCCGGAGGGUAGCCGAUCCUGAGGCACCAUCAGCUGGAUAAGCGCAGCCUUUGUGGUGGUGGUUGCCUGUUUAUGUUAAGGACUCCUUGUACUGCAGGAGGUUUCUGUAAUUGGCUGCUCCACUUAGAUUAGAUGUGUUUUGGAUCCUGCUACACCUCCCACUUUUUGUAUCUUGCCUAAAGUCUGUUGUUUUGAACUCAGUGCCAGGAAGACUAGUUACAAAGGUACCCAGUGGAGCCUCAAAGAUGGCUCUGAGAUGUGAAUAUCAUUGCAGAAUUACAUCAAGGUCACUUGUAUUUAUUUUUUCCUAAAUAGUUUCUUGACUUUAAAAUGCCUUUGGAAUUUCCAGCUCAAAAUUCUAAUUCCUUUCAGUGAGCUCAGUCUCUAUGCAAAACUUGCUUCCCGCCUGCCAAAUUGAAAGCAUCUGGAUAGAAUACUGAAUUUAGGUCAUUUUUUUCCCAGUGUGUCCUUCUUAGGAAGAAAGGAAAUCAAAUCCAAUAACAUCACACAGAGAAGAGGGUAAAAUAGUUCCAACAAGAGCUUUUUGUUUUGACCGUUGGUUGGAAUUAAAUGUGUGGCACCUCCUCUCUUCCCUGUCUCUGCCUCUCCUACCACCAGAUCUCAGUGGUUGAUUGGAAUUUUUAAAGACCUAGAGCCUUUUACUUUCCAUUAUCUCUGUAGCACCAUUCUCUGCUAAGGGGGAAGACUAGAGUAUUCCUAGUUAAUUCUUGAGGUUAAUCAAGGCGGACUUCCACGUCUUCCCAGUGGAGGAUCUGGGCAAGGUAUAGACAGGGCUCCUCAGACUUGAAAGUGCAUAGGAAUCCUCGGAGGGUCUUGUUAACGUGCAGAUUUUAAUAAGUCAGCCUGAGGUGGGGCUUGAACUUCUGCAUUUCUAAAAAGCUCCUAGCUGGUGUGAAGAGCUGCUAGUUGGUAAACCACAUGCAGAGGGACAAGGAGUGGCCCACCUCGGGGGGAUCUAGCUUCAAGCUCACUUUCUUGGCCCAGUCUCUCUCCUGUCACCUGGCCAUUUCUGGGCUUGAUGUGUUGAUCGGGAGAGCGUC
This is a non-coding RNA of Vicugna pacos (alpaca), 1088 nucleotides long. The record is from RefSeq and is a predicted model, not a curated record. Lineage: Eukaryota; Metazoa; Chordata; Mammalia; Artiodactyla; Camelidae.